ACAUUCUAGGUGAGGCCAUCCCUUAGUCCAAUCCCAGUUCCCAGUGGCUGUCUCUUGCAGGCCUGUAACCAGGAUAGGCUCCUGCAUAGCCAUUUCCCGAGCCACUUUAUCUGCUUUGUUACUGCCCCAUGCCACUGAAUCUCUUCCCUCCUGAUAUCCUGAGCAAUGAAUAGUACUCACAGUUGUUGGCUUCACCAGGGCAUCCAAGAGAUGGCAAAGACAUCUGCAGCACUGAUGUGCUGGGGGGUUGAGGUUCAGCCAUCCCAGAUGACAUUGUGUUGCCCACCAUGGCAGCACCCACUUAUCUCUGACCUUCAUGAAGAGAACUGUUCCCGUCUGUGGACAAGGUCCUCGGCUUUCAGCAGGGGUCAAUCAACCAGUCACAGAGGUCUUUCCUCCACCCAUGGGCUUCUGCCAGUGCUUGACACUCAUGUUGCAGAGGCUCCAGGUCAGGAUUGGGCAGCAAGGUGACCAGAUUGUCCCCAACCAGUGGAGAAUCUAGUCCAUCGCAGCUGACCAGUGGUCCCAUCUUUUGGGACAUUCUAUUCAAAGGCAAAAUAUCAGCCACUCUAUCACAGUUUAAGUCCUGGAUUGGGUGAUAAUUGUCAGUGCCUGGCUGGCAGGAACGGUGUGUUCCAGGCAGAAUGGCACUAAGCCACACAUCUCCCAGCAUCAGGUACUGGUGCACUGAGACAGGUCUUAA
This 703-nucleotide long non-coding RNA is filed under the name Rattus norvegicus (Norway rat). Its description in RNAcentral is "long non-coding RNA NONRATT014834". Lineage: Eukaryota; Metazoa; Chordata; Mammalia; Rodentia; Muridae. The record is from RNAcentral.